This 763-nucleotide ribosomal RNA is filed under the name Acarospora sp. RNAcentral describes it as "partial large subunit ribosomal RNA". It matches the Rfam family "Eukaryotic large subunit ribosomal RNA", at positions 138 to 919 of the family's 3401-position model. The record is from RNAcentral. Lineage: Eukaryota; Fungi; Ascomycota; Lecanoromycetes; Acarosporales; Acarosporaceae.
CCGAGUUGUAAUUUGCAGAGGAUGCUUCGGGUUCGGCUCCGGUCUAAGUUCCUUGGAACAGGACGUCAUAGAGGGUGAGAAUCCCGUAUGUGACCGGCCGCCACGCCCGUGUGAAGCUCCUUCGACGAGUCGAGUUGUUUGGGAAUGCAGCUCAAAAUGGGUGGUAAAUUUCAUCUAAAGCUAAAUAUUGGCCAGAGACCGAUAGCGCACAAGUAGAGUGAUCGAAAGAUGAAAAGCACUUUGGAAAGAGAGUCAAACAGUACGUGAAAUUGUUGAAAGGGAAGCGCUUGCAACCAGACUUGCCCGCGGGUGAUCAGCCGGUAUUCUUACCGGUGCACUCGCCCGUGGUCAGGCCAGCAUCGGUUUGGGCGGCUGGAUAAAGUCCACCGGAAUGUAGCUCCUCUCGGGGAGUGUUAUAGCCGGAGGUGCCAUGCAGCCCGCCCGGACCGAGGACCGCGCUUCGGCUAGGAUGCUGGCGUAAUGGUUGUAAGCGACCCGUCUUGAAACACGGACCAAGGAGUCUAACAUCUAUGCGAGUGUUUGGGUGUCAAACCCAUGCGCGUAAUGAAAGUGAACGGAGGUGGGAACCCUGAAGGGUGCACCAUCGACCGAUCCUGAUGUCUUCGGAUGGAUUUGAGUAAGAGCAUAGCUGUUGGGACCCGAAAGAUGGUGAACUAUGCCUGAAUAGGGUGAAGCCAGAGGAAACUCUGGUGGAGGCUCGCAGCGGUUCUGACGUGCAAAUCGAUCGUCAAAUUUGGGUAUA